AUCUCCUUUUUAUAACACAGUCAUAAUAUUGCACAUAACUAAAGAUUUUUUCUUUGUCCUAUUUUCUUCUUUGGUUGUGAUUUGACCUCAUCUUUUACAUUUGAGGUGUUUUGUUAUGCUGUGUCUUCUGUUCCUACUGUAACUUAUAACUACAUUACAGAAUCACAACAACCAAUAUCGGAGGCUUACAAUCUUGAGUUACUUUGGGUUCAGCCAUUUAAUCUGGAUCCAUCUUGUGCACUACACUGUGCCUCACCACAGAUGGCGCUAUUCCAUAACAUCCUCCUUUGUUUAUAAAACAAGAGAAUUUUAGAUGCAUUGACAAGAUUAAACAUCUUCAUUUUAACUGAGUCCAUUCCGUAUUAACUGAGUCUGUUUGCCACUUUUCAUUCAGUCCAUUUUCGACUUUCAUAAAUGAAUCCUGCUGCUUCCCAAGAUGAUACUUGAACAAGUGAUCAUUAUGAUGUCUGUCCAUACUGGGUGUCAAUUAGCAAAGCCAUUUACUUUUUCCUCUCAUCCAGUUAAUCUAGUGGGAUUUGUUGUAACUGGAGGUUGCGCUCCGCGAUGCCCUCAGUACCUCUGCUGGUGGUUCAAACCUGUAACAGGGCUCCGAUGCUGCCAUCUUGAUUGUCAUGAUGGAGCUGAGCAUUCCAUCUAAGUGGAGGGCAUUCCUGGUCUCUGUCUUGUUUAGACCGAUGGACGAAAAAACCCUCUCAGCAUCAGCAUUGCUGUGGGGAAGACAGAGCACCAGCUGAGCCACCUUAGCGAGCCUCAAGAACCUCGGCUGCCCCGUUACCUCGUUCUUCAGCGAAGAAAGGUGGACCCAGAGCUUGUCAAUUCUAAGAAAUUCAGCUUCUGCAUCUGUAGAAGUAAACUCCUUUCACUGCUUGAAAGACACCUCAUACAUCAUCUGAUAGUCAGUAAACUCUUCUUGCACCUUGUCCUGAUCUCGUGGACUAUUAAAGGGCAGUAGAUGCUGGAACCUAAAAUAAAAAAGAAAUGAAACGCAAAAAAAAAACCUGAAACAAAAAUACACCUCUUUAUUAUUGCCUAUUAGCAUUAUUAUGAGAGAUAAAAAUGCACAUUCUGAAAAUGUAUUUGUUUUAUUUUGCAAUGAAAUCUCAGAUCUGAAGUAACAAUAUCUCAAGAUUCAAAUCAUAGACUGAUUUGAUUUAAAAUUAAAGACUAAGACAGGCAUCUCUGCAUUUUUGAUAUGGCAAUAUUGACAUACCUGUCAAUGAAGAAGAGCACAUCAUCAAUUGACGCUUCCAUCUUCUGGUGCCAGUCAACGAAGGUAGCAUGUUGUAGGACCGGCUCAUCAAGGGGGAGACGUGAGAGGGCGUAUGAAACUGCCUCACAGAAGAAGCUCCUUACACCACCAAGGAACUUUUUAACCUGCGUUUCACUAAUGUCGCCACCUUCCAACAGUCAGUUUAAUGUCCCGCGAGUAGUAUGAAUUUCAAUAUUUCAAGACAAGAGUUUAAACUCACCUGUACCGGCUGAAGCCUGAAGUACUGUACCAUAUGGCCGAUCUGGUCGUAGAGGGCUAAAGAGGACGGCCCAGGCCCAUUAUCCGAUCGCAAACACUGAGCCACCCGGGCCGGGCCGGGCUGGGGGUCGGGCGCGAUGUACAGCGAUGACAGGCCAUGGCAUCGACACUCGCUUGUCAUGUCUCGCACAAAAAAAAACCUCGCUUCAUAGUAAAGUGACAACGUCACUCGCACACGCAGGAUAAGCCAAUCGCAAUUCACUAUCUUGUCUUUGCGCGGCAAACCGAAACCAAUUUGCAUUGAUGGAUUAGCUUUGCGCAUGUGUGGUUCAAAACAUGUUGAAACUUUCGGCAGGGAUAUUGAAUAUCCUAUAUAAUAGACAUUCUUUUUUUUUAGUUUCUAUUUUCGGGGUUCAGCGUGAGAAUUCCUAUGAUCAGCGUGAGAGCGUGAGAAUUGGGUGAAUUGCGUGAGACUCACGCAGAUUGCGUGAGAGUUGGCAGCCCUGUGUUUUGAUAUGCUGUGUCUUCUGUUCCUACUGUAACUUAUAACUACAUUACAGAAUCACAACAAGCAAUAUCGGAGGCUUACAAUCUUGAGUUACUUUGGGUUUAGCCAUUUAAUCUGGAUCCAUUUUGUGCACUACACUGUGCCUCGCCACAGAUGGCGCUAUUCCAUAACAUGAGGAACUUGUUUUCUUAUCCUUGUUCCAUUUUCCACUUUUCUUAGUUUCAGUGUUUCUUUGUUGUUAGGUAUGAGGGUCAGUAAGAUUCUCGUAGCUCUUAGCAUCGGUAUUAAGAUCUUGGUAGGUUUGUGCCUUUGUGCCUCUGUGUGUCAACACAUAGCCAUCAGUAAUUCUUGCUCCUACAUGGAGACUUUCAAGUCUUUGUUCUUCAAGAUAUAUUUGAACAUCCAUACACAUGCUCAGUGUUUCUUCGUUGUUAGGUAUGAGGGUCCGUAAGAUUCUCGUAGCUCUUAGCAUCGGUAUUAAGAUCUUGGUAGGUUUGUGCCUCUGUGUGUCAACACAUUCUUCUUAAACGCACAUCUUUUCGUUGAAGUAUCUAGCACUCAGGGAAAAUUGUUCCACGUUCGACACAUCGGUUGUUUCGUCUGCCAAUAUG
Long non-coding RNA from Strongylocentrotus purpuratus (purple sea urchin), 2608 nucleotides. RefSeq lists it as uncharacterized. Lineage: Eukaryota; Metazoa; Echinodermata; Echinoidea; Camarodonta; Strongylocentrotidae. The transcript has 2 exons. The record is from RefSeq and is a predicted model, not a curated record.